This is a non-coding RNA of Canis lupus familiaris (dog), 105 nucleotides long. The record is from Rfam. Lineage: Eukaryota; Metazoa; Chordata; Mammalia; Carnivora; Canidae.
AGGAGGAACAGCCCCAGUGGCGAGGCCAGCUCUGGAAACCUGGAUUCAGCUCCGGCAGGAACUCCGGAGCUCUCCGUCUGCAGGGCCUGGAGGCUCCGGGCGGGG